CGGCGCGCCUAACACAUGCAAGUCGAACGGAGCUGUUUUCUCUGAAGUUUUCGGAUGGAAGAGAGUUCAGCUUAGUGGCGAAUGGGUGAGUAACACGUGAGCAACCUGCCUUUCAGUGGGGGACAACAUUUGGAAACGAAUGCUAAUACCGCAUAAGACCACAGUGUCGCAUGGCACAGGGGUCAAAGGAUUUAUCCGCUGAAAGAUGGGCUCGCGUCCGAUUAGCUAGAUGGUGAGGUAACGGCCCACCAUGGCGACGAUCGGUAGCCGGACUGAGAGGUUGAACGGCCACAUUGGGACUGAGACACGGCCCAGACUCCUACGGGAGGCAGCAGUGGGGAAUAUUGCACAAUGGGGGAAACCCUGAUGCAGCGACGCCGCGUGGAGGAAGAAGGUCUUCGGAUUGUAAGCUGUUGUCGCAAGGGAGGAAGACAGUGACGGUACCUUGUGAGAAAGUCACGGCUAACUACGUGCCAGCAGCCGCGGUAAUACGUAGGUGACAAGCGUUGUCCGGAUUUACUGGGUGUAAAGGGCGCGUAGGCGGACUGUCAAGUCAGUCGUGAAAUACCGGGGCUUAACCCCGGGGCUGCGAUUGAAACUGACAGCCUUGAGUAUCGGAGAGGAAAGCGGAAUUCCUAGUGUAGCGGUGAAAUGCGUAGAUAUUAGGAGGAACACCAGUGGCGAAGGCGGCUUUCUGGACUGUUACUGACACUGAGGCACGAAAGUGUGGGGAGCAAACAGGAUUAGAUACCCUGGUAGUCCACACCGUAAACGAUGAGCACUAGGUGUCGGGGUCGCAAGACUUCGGUGCCGCAGUUAACGCAUUAAGUGUUCCGCCUGGGGAGUACGUACGCAAGUAUGAAACUCAAAGGAAUUGACGGGGACCCGCACAAGCAGCGGAGCAUGUGGUUUAAUUCGAAGCAACGCGAAGAACCUUACCAGGACUUGACAUCCCUCUGAAACCCCUGAUAACGAAGGGGCCUCUACGGACAGAGGAGACAGGUGGUGCAUGGUUGUCGUCAGCUCGUGUCGUGAGAUGUUGGGUUAAGUCCCGCAACGAGCGCAACCCUUGCUGUUAGUUGCCAUCAUUGAGUUGGGCACUCUAACGGGACUGCCGGGGAUAACUCGGAGGAAGGUGGGGAUGACGUCAAAUCAUCAUGCCCCUUAUGUUCUGGGCUACACACGUGCUACAAUGGUCGGUACAAAGAGCAGCAAGACCGCGAGGUGGAGCAAAUCUCAAAAACCGAUCCCAGUUCGGAUUGCAGGCUGCAACUCGCCUGCAUGAAGUUGGAGUUGCUAGCAAUCGCGAAUCAGAAUGUCGCGGUGAAUGCGUUCCCGGGUCUUGUACACACCGCCCGUCACACCACGGAAGUUGGGGGUGCCCAAAGUUGGUCAAAAAAUAGAUUACCUAAGGCAAAACCAAUGACUGG
RNAcentral lists this ribosomal RNA (1430 nucleotides) under uncultured organism. Its description in RNAcentral is "16S ribosomal RNA". It matches the Rfam family "Bacterial small subunit ribosomal RNA". The record is from RNAcentral.